AAGCCUAACACAUGCAAGUCGAACGGCAGCACAGAGGAGCUUGCUCCUUGGGUGGCGAGUGGCGGACGGGUGAGGAAUACAUCGGAAUCUACUCUGUCGUGGGGGAUAACGUAGGGAAACUUACGCUAAUACCGCAUACGACCUACGGGUGAAGGCAGGGGAUCUUCGGACCUUGCGCGAUUGAAUGAGCCGAUGUCGGAUUAGCUAGUUGGCGGGGUAAAGGCCCACCAAGGCGACGAUCCGUAGCUGGUCUGAGAGGAUGAUCAGCCACACUGGAACUGAGACACGGUCCAGACUCCUACGGGAGGCAGCAGUGGGGAAUAUUGGACAAUGGGCGCAAGCCUGAUCCAGCCAUACCGCGUNGGGUGAAGAAGGCCUUCGGGUUGUAAAGCCCUUUUGUUGGGAAAGAAAUCCAGCUGGGCUAAUACCCGGUUGGGAUGACGGUACCCAAAGAAUAAGCACCGGCUAACUUCGUGCCAGCAGCCGCGGUAAUUCGAAGGGUGCAAGCGUUACUCGGAAUUACUGGGCGUAAA
This 533-nucleotide ribosomal RNA is filed under the name uncultured bacterium. RNAcentral's name for it is "bacterial SSU rRNA". It matches the Rfam family "Bacterial small subunit ribosomal RNA", at positions 44 to 564 of the family's 1533-position model. The record is from RNAcentral.